This 407-nucleotide ribosomal RNA is filed under the name uncultured bacterium. RNAcentral describes it as "partial 16S ribosomal RNA". It matches the Rfam family "Bacterial small subunit ribosomal RNA", at positions 28 to 526 of the family's 1533-position model. The record is from RNAcentral.
GACGAACGCUGGCGGCGUGCCUAAUACAUGCAAGUAGGCCGCAGUUGCGAACGGGUGAGUAACGCGUAGGUAACUACCUAUUAGAGGGGAAUAACUAUUGGAAACGAUAGCUAAUACCGCAUACUAGUAGAUGGACCUUCGUUGUAUUUGCUAGUAGGUAGGGGAAUGGCCUACCUAGGCAACGCUACAUAACCGACCUGAGAGGGUGGAGGGCCACACGGGGACUGAGAAACGGCCCAGGCUCCUACGGGAGGCAGCAGUAGGGAAUCUUCGGCAAUGGGGGGAACCCUGACCGAGCAAAGCCGCGGGAGGUAAGGAGGUUUUCGGAUCGUAAAGCUCUGUGGUGAAGGAAGCGGUACUUAACCAGAAAGGGACGGCUAACUACGUGCCAGCAGCCGCGGUAAUUC